AUACGGAGGGUGCAAGCGUUAUUCGGAAUCACUGGGCGUAAAGGACGCGUAGGCGGGUUGGCAAGUCAGAUGUGAAAUCCUACAGCUUAACUGUAGAACUGCAUUUGAAACUGCUAACCUAGAGUAUGGGAGGGGGAGAUGGAAUUAGUGGUGUAGAGGUAAAAUCCGUAGAUAUCACUAGGAAUACCGAAAGCGAAGGCGAUCUCCUGGAACAUAACUGACGCUAAGGCGUAAAAGCGUGGGGAGCAAACAGGAUUAGAUACCCUAGUAGUCC
RNAcentral lists this ribosomal RNA (274 nucleotides) under uncultured bacterium. RNAcentral describes it as "partial 16S ribosomal RNA". It matches the Rfam family "Bacterial small subunit ribosomal RNA", at positions 523 to 796 of the family's 1533-position model. The record is from RNAcentral.